UGUAAGAACUGUCCUAUCAGGAGGGCCAACGAAGGCUGUCUCUUCCGGUGUCAUGGCGUCAGUUGCAAUAUCAUGGCAAAAAAGGGAGUACUAGAUGUUUGCUAGACAACUGUUUUUUGCUUCUGUUCUCCGUUGACUGCUUAGAAAGAAGCUCGGAGACCUCCAAAUUACGCAAUGGAGGCGGUGACCUUUGAUGAUGUGGUUGUGAACUUCAGCAAUGAGGAGUGGACUUUGUUGAGUCCAUCCCAAAAGAACCUCUACAGAGAUGUGAUGGGCGAAACCUUUAGGAACAUGACUGCAAUAGGAGGACUUGGGAAUAUCCAGGAACCUGAAAAAGAAUGCAAAAUUUACUGGAGAUACUUAAGGUAAUUCGCACUCAUAAGGAGAAGGAAUGUUCCUGAGUAAUUAGUGAGUCAGGAGAAAAAUACCGCCAAGAAAUGAGGCACCAUUCAAUUUAUUGUCAGUAAUAUUAUCCGAAGACAUAUAAGGAGUUAUAACAUUCUCCCUUCAGUUUUUCUACCCAUAUAUACAUGUGAAUAUAA
Molecule: long non-coding RNA, 542 nt
Organism: Cavia porcellus (domestic guinea pig)
Lineage: Eukaryota; Metazoa; Chordata; Mammalia; Rodentia; Caviidae
Exons: 3
Source: RefSeq, a predicted model, not a curated record